Molecule: long non-coding RNA, 366 nt
Organism: Oncorhynchus keta (chum salmon)
Lineage: Eukaryota; Metazoa; Chordata; Actinopteri; Salmoniformes; Salmonidae
Exons: 3
Source: RefSeq, a predicted model, not a curated record
UCUCUCUCCCUGAAAUAAUAACUACCAGGUGUAUCAGCUACCUGUUCUCUCUCUCCCUGUAAUAAUAACUACCAGGUGUAUCAGCUACCUGUUCUCUCUCUCCCUGUAAUAAUAACUACCAGGUGUAUCAGCUACCUGUUCUCUCUCUCCCUGUAAUAAUAACUACCAGGUGUAUCAGCUACCUGUUCUCUCUCUCCCUGUAAUAAUAACUACCAGGUGUAUCAGCUACCUGUUCUCUCUCUCCCUGUAAUAAUAACUACCAGGUGUAUCAGCUACCUGUUCUCUCUCUCCCUGUAAUAAUAACUACCAGGUGUAUCAGCUACCUGUUCUCUCUCUCCCUGUAAUAAUAACUACCAGGUGUAUCAG